AGCAGCCGCAGUAAUUCCAGCUCCAAUAGCGUAUAUUAAAGUUGUUGCAGUUAAAAAGCUCGUAGUUGAAUUUCGGGGUCAGUAGAUUGGUCGUGCCACUGGUAUGUACUGGUCUUACUGGCUCCUCCUUCCUGAUGAACCGUAAUGCCAUUAAUUUGGUGUUGCGGGGAGACUGGACUGUUACUUUGAAAAAUUAGAGUGUUUAAAGCAGGCUAACGCUUGAAUACAUUAGCAUGGAAUAAUGAAAUAGGACGUUCGAUCUUAUUUUGUUGGUUUCUAAGAUUGACGUAAUGAUUAAUAGGGAUAGUUGGGGGCAUUAGUAUUCAAUUGUCAGAGGUGAAAUUCUUGGAUUUAUUGAAGACUAACUACUGCGAAAGCAUUUGCCAAGGAUGUUUUCAUUAAUCAAG
This 407-nucleotide small RNA is filed under the name uncultured Glomus. RNAcentral's name for it is "SSU rRNA". It matches the Rfam family "Eukaryotic small subunit ribosomal RNA", at positions 569 to 981 of the family's 1831-position model. The record is from RNAcentral. Lineage: Eukaryota; Fungi; Glomeromycota; Glomeromycetes; Glomerales; Glomeraceae.